CCUACGGGGGGCAGCAGUGGGGAAUAUUGCACAAUGGGCGCAAGUCUGAUGCAGCGACGCCGCGUGAGGGAUGGAGGCCUUCGGGUUGUAAACCUCUUUCGCCAGUGAAGCAGGCCUGUCCCUUGUGGGUGGGUUGACGGUAGCUGGAUAAGAAGCGCCGGCUAACUACGUGCCAGCAGCCGCGGUAAUACGUAGGGCGCGAGCGUUGUCCGGAAUUAUUGGGCGUAAAGAGCUCGUAGGCGGCUGGUCGCGUCUGUCGUGAAAUCCUCUGGCUUAACUGGGGGCUUGCGGUGGGUACGGGCCGGCUUGAGUGCGGUAGGGGAGACUGGAACUCCUGGUGUAGCGGUGGAAUGCGCAGAUAUCAGGAAGAACACCGGUGGCGAAGGCGGGUCUCUGGGCCGUUACUGACGCUGAGGAGCGAAAGCGUGGGGAGCGAACAGGAUUAGAUACCCUAGUAGUC
RNAcentral lists this ribosomal RNA (460 nucleotides) under uncultured bacterium. RNAcentral's name for it is "bacterial SSU rRNA". It matches the Rfam family "Bacterial small subunit ribosomal RNA", at positions 338 to 795 of the family's 1533-position model. The record is from RNAcentral.